UCUACGGGUGGCAGCAGUGGGGAAUAUUGGACAAUGGGCGAAAGCCUGAUCCAGCCAUGCCGCGUGUGUGAAGAAGGCCUUCGGGUUGUAAAGCACUUUCAGUGGGGAAGAAAGCCUUGGGGCUAAUACCCUCGAGGAAGGACAUCACCCACAGAAGAAGCACCGGCUAACUCCGUGCCAGCAGCCGCGGUAAUACGGAGGGUGCGAGCGUUAAUCGGAAUUACUGGGCGUAAAGCGCGCGUAGGCGGUCUGAUAAGCCGGUUGUGAAAGCCCCGGGCUCAACCUGGGAACGGCAUCCGGAACUGUCAGGCUAGAGUGCAGGAGAGGAAGGUAGAAUUCCCGGUGUAGCGGUGAAAUGCGUAGAGAUCGGGAGGAAUACCAGUGGCGAAGGCGGCCUUCUGGACUGACACUGACGCUGAGGUGCGAAAGCGUGGGUAGCAAACAGGAUUAGAUACCCCUGUAGUC
This 465-nucleotide ribosomal RNA is filed under the name Vreelandella stevensii. RNAcentral's name for it is "partial 16S ribosomal RNA". It matches the Rfam family "Bacterial small subunit ribosomal RNA", at positions 338 to 795 of the family's 1533-position model. The record is from RNAcentral. Lineage: Bacteria; Pseudomonadati; Pseudomonadota; Gammaproteobacteria; Oceanospirillales; Halomonadaceae.